This 596-nucleotide ribosomal RNA is filed under the name uncultured bacterium. RNAcentral describes it as "bacterial SSU rRNA". It matches the Rfam family "Bacterial small subunit ribosomal RNA", at positions 331 to 929 of the family's 1533-position model. The record is from RNAcentral.
CCAGACUCCUACGGGAGGCAGCAGUGAGGAAUAUUGGUCAAUGGUCGGAAGACUGAACCAGCCAUGCCGCGUGCAGGAAGAAUGCCUUAUGGGUUGUAAACUGCUUUUAUAUGGGAAGAAUAAGGAGUACGUGUACUUUGAUGACGGUACCAUAUGAAUAAGCAUCGGCUAACUCCGUGCCAGCAGCCGCGGUAAUACGGAGGAUGCGAGCGUUAUUCGGAAUCAUUGGGUUUAAAGGGUCUGUAGGCGGGCUAUUAAGUCAGGGGUGAAAGGUUUCAGCUUAACUGAGAAAUUGCCUUUGAUACUGGUAGUCUUGAAUAUCUGUGAAGUUCUUGGAAUGUGUAGUGUAGCGGUGAAAUGCUUAGAUAUUACACAGAACACCGAUUGCGGAGGCAGGGGACUAACAGAUGAUUGACGCUGAGAGACGAAAGCGUGGGGAGCGAACAGGAUUAGAUACCCUGGUAGUCCACGCUGUAAACGAUGGAUACUAGCUGUUUGGAGCAAUCUGAGUGGCUAAGCGAAAGUGAUAAGUAUCCCACCUGGGGAGUACGCACGCAAGUGUGAAACUCAAAGGAAUUGACGGGGGCCCGCACAAG